RNAcentral lists this ribosomal RNA (435 nucleotides) under uncultured bacterium. Its description in RNAcentral is "partial 16S ribosomal RNA". It matches the Rfam family "Bacterial small subunit ribosomal RNA", at positions 30 to 507 of the family's 1533-position model. The record is from RNAcentral.
AGCGAACGCUGGCGGCAGGCUUAACACAUGCAAGUCGAGCGGGCGUAGCAAUAUUGCUGCGGGAGUCGGGGGAGUAAGGGGGGGUAACGUACCUUAUUGUUCGGGGCAACACAGGGAAACGUGUGGUAAUACCGGCUAAGCCCUCACGGGUAAAGAUGGAUCGCCGGAAGAUCGGUCGGCGCCUGAUUAGCCAGUUGGUGAGGUAUCGGCUUACCAAGUCGGGGGGGAGCAGAUGGGCUGAGAGGAUGAUCAGCGACUUUGGGGGUGGGACACGGCCGAAACUCCUACAGGAGGCAGCAGUGGGGAAUAUUGGACAGUGGGGGGUACCAAGAUCGUGCCAUGCCUCGUGAGUGAUGAAGGCCGUAGGGUUGUAAAGCUCUUUUGUACGGGAAGAUAAUGACGGUACCGAAAGAAUAAGCCCCGGCUAACUUCGUG